RNAcentral lists this ribosomal RNA (359 nucleotides) under uncultured bacterium. RNAcentral's name for it is "partial 16S ribosomal RNA". It matches the Rfam family "Bacterial small subunit ribosomal RNA", at positions 338 to 695 of the family's 1533-position model. The record is from RNAcentral.
UCUACGGGUGGCAGCAGUGAGGAAUAUUGGUCAAUGGGCGGGAGCCUGAACCAGCCAAGCCGCCUGAAGGAAUAAGGCGCCAGGCGUUGUAAACUUCUUUUGUCGGGGAACAAAGGGCGCCACGCGUGGCGUUGUGAGUGUACCCGAAGAAAAAGCAUCGGCUAACUCCGUGCCAGCAGCCGCGGUAAUACGGAGGAUGCGAGCGUUUUCCGGAUUUAUUGGGUUUAAAGGGUGCGUAGGCGGUCCGGAAAGUCGGCGGUAAAAGCCCGGGGCGGAACCCCGGCGAGCCGGUGACACUGUCGGACUAGAGGCGGGGAGAAGUACGCGGAAUGCGCGGUGUAGCGGUGAAAUGCAUAGAG